AUAAUCCUCUGACAUCCCCCACCCCCCAAACGUCAGAUGCUUUGCUACGUCCCUGAUGGUUGUAUUCGAAACCGAUUUCAGUUUUAAGAUAUCCUUAGUCUGCUCUUCUAAAUGGAUACAUGAAAUCACCUAUAGCUUAUUUUAAAUUUUUUGGCGCCAGGUUUGUGAAGUAACUUACGCGCCAAAAAGUAGCAGUUCCAAAAACAAAAAAGCAUAUACGAUUUGCAAGAAUGAUGUGUUCUAUGUUUAUGGGAUAUUUCGUACAAACGGGAUGGAAAUUAAAGAAAUUGAAGCAUAAUGGCACUUUUGCAUGCAUUUUUGACAGGCAUACAAAGACAUUUGCAACAGAUGCCGGGAGACACUUGGGUGGGGGCGACAUACUGUAAGGUUCCAGCACAUUACCCUGAUCCAGGAAAUCCUGGCCACUACAUGAACGUGUUCAAGACUCCGAAUACGCUGAAUGAUGGACAACAACAACCUGUUGAUAAUUUCAUCCCUAGAGCCAAUUUAAAAUGUUUUAAAGACGGUGCCAUUUCAUCUGGUGCUAGUGAGGUGAAAGAAGCAGCAGAUCGGUAGUUUUGUUGAGGAGAAGCACAUG
Non-coding RNA from Paramuricea clavata, 598 nucleotides. The record is from the annotation of a GenBank genome assembly. Lineage: Eukaryota; Metazoa; Cnidaria; Anthozoa; Malacalcyonacea; Plexauridae.